This 403-nucleotide ribosomal RNA is filed under the name Fusobacteriota bacterium. RNAcentral describes it as "Fusobacteria bacterium partial 16S ribosomal RNA". It matches the Rfam family "Bacterial small subunit ribosomal RNA", at positions 355 to 776 of the family's 1533-position model. Lineage: Bacteria; Fusobacteriati; Fusobacteriota. The record is from RNAcentral.
UGGGGAAUAUUGCACAAUGGAGGGAACUCUGAUGCAGCGACGCCGCGUGAACGAAGAAGGCUUUCGAGUCGUAAAGUUCUUUUAUAUGGGAAGAUAAUGACGGUACCAUAAGAAAAAGCCCCGGCUAACUACGUGCCAGCAGCCGCGGAAAUACGUAGGGGGCUAGCGUUGUCCGGAAUCACUGGGCAAAAAGGGUUCGCAGGCGGAAAUGCAAGUCAGGUGUAAAAGGCAGUAGCUUAACUACUGUAAGCAUUUGAAACUGCAUAUCUUGAGAAGAGUAGAGGUAAGUGGAAUUUUUAGUGUAGCGGUGAAAUGCGUAGAUAUUAAAAAGAAUACCGGUGGCGAAGGCGACUUACUGGGCUCAUUCUGACGCUGAGGAACGAAAGCGUGGGUAGCAAACAGG